GCCGCAGUAGCUCAGUCUGUUCUUCUAAAGUCUACGGAUUUUAGUUGAGGCUUGGGACCGAUGUGUCGCCAGUUCAAAUCUGGCCUGCGGCA
This 92-nucleotide transfer RNA is filed under the name Microcaldota archaeon. RNAcentral's name for it is "tRNA-Pro". It matches the Rfam family "tRNA". From Rfam's summary of the family: Transfer RNA (tRNA) molecules are approximately 80 nucleotides in length. Their secondary structure includes four short double-helical elements and three loops (D, anti-codon, and T loops). Lineage: Archaea; Nanobdellati; Microcaldota. The record is from RNAcentral.